This 738-nucleotide ribosomal RNA is filed under the name uncultured bacterium. Its description in RNAcentral is "bacterial SSU rRNA". It matches the Rfam family "Bacterial small subunit ribosomal RNA", at positions 28 to 775 of the family's 1533-position model. The record is from RNAcentral.
AGUGAACGCUGGCGGCGUGCCUAACACAUGCAAGUCGAACGAGAACGGAUUUAAGUUUACUUAAAUUGUCAGCUAAGUGGCGCACGGGUGAGUAAUGUAUAGUUAACCUGCCCUCUAGAAAGGAAUAACAGUUAGAAAUGAUUGCUAAUGCCUUAUAUGCCUUUUUAACAUAAGUUAGUAAAGGGAAAUGCUUUAGUGCUAGAGGAUGGGACUGUAUAGUAUCAGAUAGUUGGUGGGGUAAUGGCCUACCAAGUCAAUGACGCUUAACUGGUUUGAGAGGAUGAUCAGUCACACUGGAACUGAGACACGGUCCAGACUCCUACGGGAGGCAGCAGUGGGGAAUAUUGCACAAUGGACGAAAGUCUGAUGCAGCAACGCCGCGUGGAGGAUGACACAUUUCGGUGCGUAAACUCCUUUUAUGUAGGAAGAUAAUGACGGUACUAUAUGAAUAAGCACCGGCUAACUCCGUGCCAGCAGCCGCGGUAAUACGGAGGGUGCAAGCGUUACUCGGAAUCACUGGGCGUAAAGAGCAUGUAGGCGGAUUGAUAAGUUUGAAGUGAAAUCCUAUAGCUUAACUAUAGAACUGCUUUGAAAACUGUUAAUCUAGAGUAUGGGAGAGGUAGAUGGAAUUUCUGGUGUAGGGGUAAAAUCCGUAGAGAUCAGAAGGAAUACCGAUUGCGAAGGCGAUCUACUGGAACAUUACUGACGCUCAGAUGCGAAAGCGUGGGGAGCAAACAG